This 80-nucleotide microRNA precursor is filed under the name Petromyzon marinus (sea lamprey). RNAcentral's name for it is "microRNA pma-mir-4621 precursor". The record is from miRBase by way of RNAcentral. Lineage: Eukaryota; Metazoa; Chordata; Hyperoartia; Petromyzontiformes; Petromyzontidae.
UGUCGGUCCACGUGCCUGGCUUGGUACAGUGUGAAAUAAACAACCACUGUACCAAGCGAGUCAGACACGUGGACUGACGC